Molecule: ribosomal RNA, 1556 nt
Filed under: human gut metagenome
Description: bacterial LSU rRNA
Rfam family: Bacterial large subunit ribosomal RNA
Source: RNAcentral
GCUGAACACUCUCCUGUGACCGAUAGCGAACCAGUACCGUGAGGGAAAGGUGAAAAGCACCCCGAGAGGGGAGUGAAACAGUACCUGAAACCGUGCGCCCACAAGCAGUCGGAGCAGCCUUUGCGCUGUGACGGCGUGCCUUUUGUAGAAUGAGCCAGCGAGUUGCGGUGUGCGGCGAGGUUAAGUUUGGAAACGAGCCGCAGCGAAAGCGAGCCUUUAAGAUGGCGAGUGAGUCGCACGCUGCAGACGCGAAGCCGGGUGAGCUAUCCUGGGGCAGGCUGAAGCGGGGGUAAGACCCCGUGGAGGGCCGAACCCACUUCGGUUGAAAACGGAGGGGAUGACCCCAGGAUAGGGGUGAAAGGCCAAUCAAACCCGGAGAUAUCUCGUUCUCCCCGAAAUAGCUUUAGGGCUAGCCUCGGCCGUUAACCCGCGGUGGUAGAGCCACCGGAUCGACGAGGGGGCUUCACCGCCUACCGACUCGAACCGAACUCCGAAUGCCGCGGGUCGAGAGGCCGGGAGUCAGAGGGCGUGGGCUAAGCUGCGCGCUCGAGAGGGAAACAGCCCAGACCGCCCGCUAAGGUCCCCAAGUCAUCGCUGAGUGGCAAAGGAUGUGCGUCUGCCCAGACAACCAGGAUGUUGGCUUAGAAGCAGCCAUGCAUUUAAAGAGUGCGUAACAGCUCACUGGUCGAGUGGACAUGCGCCGACAAUUCACGGGGCUAAGCGAUGCACCGAAGCGGCGGACUGAGAAUUCAGUGGUAGGGGAGCUCUCCGCGGGGGGCGAAGCAGCAGGGCGACCUGCGGUGGACCGCGCGGAGGUGAGAAUGCUGGCAUGAGUAACGAGACCAGGGCGAGAAACCCUGGCGCCGUGAGCCUAAGGGUUCCUGGGCGAGGCUAAUCCCCCCAGGGUCAGUCGGGAGCUAAGGCGAGGCCGAGAGGCGUAGCCGAUGCGCAGCGGGCAGACAUUCCCGCACCGCCGACGGCGCGGCAUUACCGAUGGGGCGACGGAGAAGGGUAGCCGGGCGGGGUUCUGGACGUCCCCGUGAAAGCGCGUAGGGCGCGCAGCGUGGAAAUCAGCUGCGCGAGAGGCCUGAGACGCGAGACGAAGCGACUGAGCGAAGCCGGUGAGCCCAUGCUUCCGAGAAAAACCUCUAGGGAGUGCCGUCGGCGCCCGUACCAAAACCGACACAGGUGGGCGGGUAGAACAUACCGAGGCGAUCGGGAGAACCACGGUUAAGGAACUCGGCAUACUGGCCCCGUAACUUCGGGAGAAGGGGCGCCGCCGGCUGUGAACGCCCUCGCGGCGGGAGCGGCUGGCGGCCGCAGCGAAACGGCCCAAGCGACUGUUUAUCAAAAACACAGGACUCUGCAAAGCGGUAACGCGACGUAUAGGGUCUGACGCCUGCCCGGUGCCGGAAGGUUACGCGGAUGCGUCAGCCGAAAGGCGAAGCGCUGAAGCCAAGCCCCGGUAAACGGCGGCCGUAACUAUAACGGUCCUAAGGUAGCGAAAUUCCUUGUCGGGUAAGUUCCGACCUGCACGAAUGGCGUAACGAUUUGGG